RNAcentral lists this ribosomal RNA (495 nucleotides) under uncultured bacterium. RNAcentral describes it as "partial 16S ribosomal RNA". It matches the Rfam family "Bacterial small subunit ribosomal RNA", at positions 28 to 523 of the family's 1533-position model. The record is from RNAcentral.
GAUGAACGCUGGCGGCGUGCUUAACACAUGCAAGUCGAACGAAGCACUUGAAACAGAUUCUUCGGAUGAAGUUUCCUGUGACUGAGUGGCGGACGGGUGAGUAACGCGUGGGUAACCUGCCUCAUACAGGGGGAUAACAGUUAGAAAUGGCUGCUAAUACCGCAUAAGCGCACGGCAUCGCAUGAUGCAGUGUGAAAAACUCCGGUGGUAUGAGAUGGACCCGCGUUGGAUUAGCUAGUUGGCAGGGUAACGGCCUACCAAGGCGACGAUCCAUAGCCGGCCUGAGAGGGUGGACGGCCACAUUGGGACUGAGACACGGCCCAGACUCCUACGGGAGGCAGCAGUGGGGAAUAUUGCACAAUGGGGGAAACCCUGAUGCAGCGACGCCGCGUGAGCGAAGAAGUAUUUCGGUAUGUAAAGCUCUAUCAGCAGGGAAGAAAAUGACGGUACCUGACUAAGAAGCCCCGGCUAACUACGUGCCAGCCGCCGCGGUAA